CCAUAGGAAAAUAAGGUAUUGCAAGUUUCUCUGCAUCUUUAACUAUGAGGUGGCUACAAGCGAUUGUCUACGAUGUAAUAGACCAUCCAAGCUUACCCUGCAACUACAACAACAAGAAUAAAAAUACAUCACUUCCAUCAAUCUCUCUAGACUCUCUAGGUGUAUCUCGCACAGGCAGUCAUCAUAGCUUCUCCGAGCCUUCGAUUGCCUCCCCAGGCCCCCCACCUCCACCCGAGCUUGAUC
RNAcentral lists this long non-coding RNA (243 nucleotides) under Elaeis guineensis (African oil palm). RNAcentral describes it as "long non-coding RNA (EGUI_LNC020559)". Lineage: Eukaryota; Viridiplantae; Streptophyta; Magnoliopsida; Arecales; Arecaceae. The record is from RNAcentral.